This 260-nucleotide unclassified non-coding RNA is filed under the name uncultured fungus. Its description in RNAcentral is "partial contains small subunit ribosomal RNA, internal transcribed spacer 1, and 5.8S ribosomal RNA". The stretch from base 1 to 73 matches the Rfam family "Eukaryotic small subunit ribosomal RNA", at positions 1759 to 1831 of the family's 1831-position model. Lineage: Eukaryota; Fungi. The record is from RNAcentral.
UCAAACUUGGUCAUUUAGAGGAAGUAAAAGUCGUAACAAGGUUUCCGUAGGUGAACCUGCGGAAGGAUCAUCAGUGAUGUGUGUGGGGGGGGCUGCCUCCACACCAAUCUUGUGUGAACUGUUGUUCUGUAGUGUGUGAUGUGUUUACAGCACUCCCACAAACAACCAUCUCUCAACCUUGUCUAAACACAGUACCCACAAUCUAAAACACAACUUUUAACAAUGGAUCUCUUGGCUCUCGCAUCGAUGAAGAACGCAGC